UUCCCCCCUUCUUUCCUGCUUUUCUUUCUCUCUCAUAUAUAAAGAGAGAGAAAGAAAAGCAGGAAAGAAGGGGGGAA
This 77-nucleotide microRNA precursor is filed under the name Podarcis lilfordi (Lilford's wall lizard). The record is from RNAcentral. Lineage: Eukaryota; Metazoa; Chordata; Lepidosauria; Squamata; Lacertidae.